RNAcentral lists this ribosomal RNA (478 nucleotides) under uncultured bacterium. Its description in RNAcentral is "partial 16S ribosomal RNA". It matches the Rfam family "Bacterial small subunit ribosomal RNA", at positions 28 to 523 of the family's 1533-position model. The record is from RNAcentral.
GACGAACGCUGGCGGCGUGCUUAACACAUGCAAGUCGAACGGUAAGGCCCUUCGGGGUACACGAGUGGCGAACGGGUGAGUAGCACGUGGGUGAUCUGCCCUGCACUUCGGGAUAAGCCUGGGAAACUGGGUCUAAUACCGGAUAGGACCCUGGGAUGCAUGUCCUGGGGUGGAAAGCUUUUGCGGUGUGGGAUGGGCCCGCGGCCUAUCAGCUUGUUGGUGGGGUGAUGGCCUACCAAGGCGACGACGGGUAGCCGGCCUGAGAGGGUGACCGGCCACACUGGGACUGAGAUACGGCCCAGACUCCUACGGGUGGCAGCAGUGGGGAAUAUUGCACAAUGGGCGCAAGCCUGAUGCAGCGACGCCGCGUGAGGGAUGACGGCCUUCGGGUUGUAAACCUCUUUCAGCAUCGACGAAGCGAAAGUGACGGUAGGUGCAGAAGAAGGACCGGCCAACUACGUGCCAGCCGCCGCCGUAA